CCUACGGGAGGCAGCAGUGAGGAAUAUUGGACAAUGGGCGCAAGCCUGAUCCAGCCAUGCCGCGUGCAGGAUGACGGUCCUAUGGAUUGUAAACUGUUUUUAUACGAGAAGAAACACCCCUACGUGUAGGGACUUGACGGUAUCGUAAGAAUAAGGAUCGGCUAACUCCGUGCCAGCAGCCGCGGUAAUACGGAGGAUCCAAGCGUUAUCCGGAAUCAUUGGGUUUAAAGGGUCCGUAGGCGGUUUAGUAAGUCAGUGGUGAAAUCUCCCCGCUCAACGGGGAAACGGCCAUUGAUACUGCUAGACUUGAAUUAUUAGGAAGUAACUAGAAUAUGUAGUGUAGCGGUGAAAUGCUUAGAGAUUACAUGGAAUACCAAUUGCGAAGGCAGGUUACUACUAAUGGAUUGACGCUGAUGGACGAAAGCGUGGGUAGCGAACAGGAUUAGAUACCCUGGUAGUCCACGCCGUAAACGAUGGAUACUAGCUGUUGGGUGCAAACUCAGUGGCUAAGCGAAAGUGAUAAGUAUCCCACCUGGGGAGUACGUUCGCAAGAUGAAACUCAAAGGAAUUGACGGNNGAGAGNGCGAGACGACACGAGGGAGAGG
Molecule: ribosomal RNA, 605 nt
Filed under: uncultured bacterium
Lineage: Bacteria
Description: bacterial SSU rRNA
Rfam family: Bacterial small subunit ribosomal RNA
Source: RNAcentral